GCCAUAUAAAAGAGUGGCUGCUUUUGCUGCCCGCGGAUGUUCUCACGAUGGCAGGAGGGGGGAAGAGCCUGGCACCGUUCAGAUGCGAGAUCUCCAGCUCCUGUCAGCCUCCUCCUUGCCUGGUCUUCUGUCGCCUUCUUUCUUCCUGCCCCACCCCCUCUCUUUGCCCCCUUCCCGACAUUCGGAAGCUCCCGGAGGCGGUGGGCACAAGGCGGGCAUCUCGGAGGGGUCAGACUGGCACCGGCCCGCGCGGUAGGGGGGAGGCCCGCGCUGAGAGCCAAACAUGCCGUCAGCGGGAACGCGAUGCUCCCGCCGUUCCCAGAGGGAAUGCAGAUGGCCAUUUUCGGCAUGGGGUGCUUUUGGGGAGCCGAGAGGAUGUUCUGGAAGUUGCCGGGCGUCUUCUCCACCCAGGUGGGCUAUGCAGGAGGCUUCACCCCAAACCCCACCUACAAAGAAAUCUGUACAGGUCUGACCGGACACGCGGAAGUGGUCAGGGUUGUGUACGACCCACAGAAGACCAGCUAUGAGGCCCUUCUCAAAGCCUUCUGGGAGAACGAUGACCCCACCCAAGGCAUGCGGCAAGAGGAGGAUGUCGGCACACAGUAUCGCUCAGUCAUCCACACGUUCGGAGCCCAGCAGAGGGAUGCUGCCCUGAAGUCGAAGGCAAUAUAUCAACAGGAGCUGGCUAAACGGCAGCUGGGGCCCAUCACCACUGAAAUCCAGGCGGCCGGGGAGUUCUAUCACGCAGAGGAUUACCACCAGCAGUACCUGCACAAGACCCCCAAGGGAUACUGCGGCCAAAAGGGGACCGGCGUGGCCUGUCCCAUCUGCCCCGCAGCUGAACAAGAGUCAUGAAGGGAGUAUGUCUGGCAGCCAUGGCGAUCAACACCCGCUAGCAGUUGCCAUGGGAACGGAAGCAGCCUCACACCUCAUUUUACGUGACCAUUGGGAGUGCAGGUGGCUUUUCUUUUCCCGGCCACCUCUGGACCCAGCUGGACAGCCUGAUUCACAGACGUGACGGGUUCUGCACUGGGCCAACUGCCCCUUGAUUCCCUUCCUGCCCUGCGUUAAUGGGCGGUUGCCAUAGCGCUGGGGAUGUCCAAGGGUUUGCUCUGGGUCUGAUCCCCGGCAAGGCACCAGGGUUCAGAGAUCACCCCUCGGUCCUGGUCACUUUGCCGUUGCCUCCAGGCUGGGGGGGGGCUUAGCCCUGGUCUCGUUGGCCCUGAUUGAAGAGGAAGCCUCCCGGAGCUGAUCCCGCACAAUCACCAGCUACUGCUGGCUCCUCGUCCUGAUCUGCUCGCACCUAUGCCCCCCUUCCCUCCAGAGCAUCCUCUGGGGUCGCCUCGAUUCACUGGGAGGCUGGAGCAUAGGAGAGGGGGUAACUUGCUUGCUAACCGCCUGGAGAAUUUCCUCACUCCGUUGCCACGGCCACCGCAGCAUCUGUCAGACAUGGGCCAGCGGGACUGGCCAGGGGAUGGGGCAACCUCUGUUCCACAACGCAAGGCAAGGCCAAGCGUUUUCAGCCUCCUUUGCUGCUGGAUUUGGGAGGGUCUGGACAGAGGUGCCCAGCAAACGCGCUGCUCUCUCCACCUGGCUUUGGUAGACAACCCUGGGAAGGCUGCAGCCCUCCCCUGCUGCCAGCUGGAGCCUUACCCCUCACGUCUGGGGAGGAGACACCUCUCAUAGGCUGCUGUUUGCUUGGCUGCAGAGGGCACCCUGUCCUUUACUCUCUGCUCUCCCACUGCCUGGUGAGGGCAGGGGCCCUGAGGAGUCACUUGCUCCAAGCCCCCGCUGGCCAAAGGGGAGUGAUGCUAGCCCAGGGCUGUUCCCGCACUCCCUGCCGGGGCUGCACUAACUCAUAUGGUCCUGGGGGGUCCCACCCCUGCUUUGGGAUUCCCAGCCAAUGGCAGCACCCCACAGGCACUUAUUUCACCGACGGUUCCCCAGGAGCCUGCCGUUCCCCCACCCGUGUACAUGUCUAUUGCUUCCUCAGGGCCUGCUGGUGCCCUCUGAAGAGUUUACUCCUGCCCCUCACUGCAGUGAUCUCCAGCACGGCCUUGCCCUCUCGCUGAGCAGGAGAUCAUCUUCUUCCCUAUUUCUACCUGGCCCUGUGUCCUCCCUGGUCUUUCUAACCCAGCCAGUCCCUCUGACAGGCUCCCCUGAGCUCCCAUCACAUGCUGCCCUGCCCACUGCAUGUGCCCAAACCCACCACCCGAAAGGCAGAUAACUAGGCACAGGUAAAAGGGGUAGUGCAUAGCAACCUCCAGAAGCCAAAGGCACUGGCUUGCUCACAGCUCCUGUACCUGGUGUUGCAGUUACAAGCCGUUGCCCGUUCAGCACAUGAGUGUAAAGUGCCCAUGGCUUUCGUGCUUGGGUAGAGAAAUGGGGAGUUAACUGGGCUUCAGAUGUAACAAAUCCUUGAUAGCUCUUGAUAUCUGCACCCCUUAGCCCCUAGCAAUUUCCCAGUAGGGUUCCUCCUGCCCUGAGAGCACAGACUCCUGCCACUAGAGUCAGAGGUAAUCCCCAUUA
Molecule: RNA transcript, 2529 nt
Organism: Chelonia mydas (Green sea turtle)
Lineage: Eukaryota; Metazoa; Chordata; Testudines; Cheloniidae
Gene name: peptide methionine sulfoxide reductase MsrA
Exons: 7
Source: RefSeq, a predicted model, not a curated record